UACGUAGGUGGCGAGCGUUGUCCGGAUUUAUUGGGUUUAAAGGGUGCGUAGGCGGCUUUGUAAGUCAGUGGUGAAAUACUCUAGCUUAACUAGAGGGGUGCCAUUGAUACUGCGGAGCUUGAGUACAGAUGAGGUAGGCGGAAUUGACGGUGUAGCGGUGAAAUGCAUAGAUAUCGGAAGGAACAUCAGUGGCGAAAGCGACUUCCUGGACCAGUACCGACGUUCAGGCACGAAAGCGUGGGGAGCAAACAGG
Molecule: ribosomal RNA, 253 nt
Filed under: uncultured bacterium
Lineage: Bacteria
Description: partial 16S ribosomal RNA
Rfam family: Bacterial small subunit ribosomal RNA
Source: RNAcentral